This 74-nucleotide transfer RNA is filed under the name archaeon. RNAcentral's name for it is "tRNA-Thr". It matches the Rfam family "tRNA". From Rfam's summary of the family: Transfer RNA (tRNA) molecules are approximately 80 nucleotides in length. Their secondary structure includes four short double-helical elements and three loops (D, anti-codon, and T loops). The record is from RNAcentral.
GCCCCAGUAGCUCAGCUGGUCAGAGCGGUAGCCUUGUAAGCUACAGGUCCCGAGUUCAAACCUCGGUUGGGGCU